RNAcentral lists this ribosomal RNA (301 nucleotides) under uncultured bacterium. Its description in RNAcentral is "partial 16S ribosomal RNA". It matches the Rfam family "Bacterial small subunit ribosomal RNA", at positions 509 to 807 of the family's 1533-position model. The record is from RNAcentral.
CAGCCGCCGCGGUAAUACGAAGGGUGCAAGCGUUAAUCGGAAUUACUGGGCGUAAAGCGUGCGCAGGCGGUUGUGUAAGACAGGUGUGAAAUCCCCGGGCUUAACCUGGGAACUGCGCUUGUGACUGCACAGCUAGAGUAUGGCAGAGGGGGGUGGAAUUCCACGUGUAGCAGUGAAAUGCGUAGAGAUGUGGAAGAACACCGGUGGCGAAGGCGGCAACCUGGCUCAUUACUGACGCUGAGGCGCGAAAGCGUGGGGAGCAAACAGGAUUAGAUACCCCCGUAGUCCCUGUCUCUUAUAC